RNAcentral lists this microRNA precursor (71 nucleotides) under Schmidtea mediterranea. RNAcentral describes it as "Sme-Mir-87-o9_pre stem-loop". The record is from RNAcentral. Lineage: Eukaryota; Metazoa; Platyhelminthes; Tricladida; Dugesiidae.
UCAUUCGAAAUUUUGCUCAAAUCCAUUUUGUUAAUAAUAAUUUUCGAUGGUGAGCAAAGCUUCAAAUGAGA